CCCCCCCCCCCCCCCCUCCCUUUUCCUUUCUUUCUUUUUUUUUUUUUUUACAGACUUAGGAUGGCUUGUCUUGUUAGUUACUUUUCUUCCUGCCAGCCCCCAUCCUCAAGUUCUCCAAUGCAACUUCAGAGGAUCAUCUUUGAUACCUCUGCAUCUGAAUAAUAUGGUUUCUGUCCCAUGCUGUAGCUGACGGUAGGAUGGACUCUGAGUGCAACUGAGAGGUUGCUUCCUCCAUAGUUUCCUAUUGCAUCUCAUACUGGUUAGGGUAAGCAAUUACAGAGGAAAUUUGACUUCUCCAUGGAGUAGUGUGUGCCUGACAGCUAGCUGGAGACAGCACACACGGAAUUGAGUCAGUGCUCCGAGUGCGGUCUUGAGUUGCAGUAAAGGUAAAACAACUGCAGACUGAUAGUUUAGCUUCUAAGGAGCAUAUACAGAUAGCAUGUUUGCCUCUAAUACUUAAAAGGCGAGGUUCUGAGAUCAUAUUUCAUGGACUGCUUCCUAUAGAUUUCAAGAAAUCCAAUCGUUCUGAAGUAUAGCCGUGCGCUAUUAUUAUUUAAAGGGAACAAACUGUUUUGAAACCCAUUACGUGGGAAGGAACCGAGGGCGGAAGUGACGUCAAGGCGUGCCUUCACUGAGGACCAAAACGGCUCCAUGAUUGGCUGGACCGUGAGGGCAGAUGUAGCGUCACGGCUAGCCUUCACUGAGGGCGGAAACACUCCGUGACUGGCUCGGAGGAACCCAGGGCGGAAGUGCCUUGCAGGGCUUGCCGGCACUAUGGGCGGAAGCUGUCGGGCCGGGCCGGGCUCGGCUCGGGCCAGGCCGCCGAGGCGCGGUGCUGCAACGAGGGCAGAAGCAGCUCCCCGCCGCAAGGACCCCUGUGGGGUUUGUUGCCGAGCGAAGGUGGCGCAUUGGCUAAACGGAGGAAAGCUGCAGCUGGCGUGCUGCAGUCGCAGGUUUCCCAGGAGAAAGAGCAGCCCGUCUGUCCAGGUACCCACCCCGGUGACGCUCCCGGUCCGCCUGGUCCCCGGAACACCCACCCCGGUGACCGCCCCGGGCCCCCCAAGUCCACCACCCAAGGACCCACAACGGUGAUUCCCCAGGAUCGUCGUUCACCCCGGAUGACCCUCCCCGCUGACCCCUAUGGGCCACCCAAGUCUCCGGUGGACACAUGCCGUUGACCCCUCCGGCCUCCCUGGUACCCAGAGGACCCACCCCGGUCACAUCCCCGGGGGCCCGCUAGGACUCAAACCAGUGAGCACCCCUGGGUCCCCGGGGGCCCCCGAGUACCCACCCUGGUGAUCACCCCCGGGCCCCCCAGGCGCCCCGGAGGACCCGCCCGGGUGACACUCCAGUGUCCCUCGAAGGCUGCGGAGGACAAACUCCGGUGAUCCCCCUGGGACCUCGAGGUCCCCGGAGAAGCCACCCUGGUGUCCUCCACAGAUACCAGAGGUCCCCGGAGGAACCAACUCUGGUGAACCCCUAGGUCCCCCCAGGUCCCCAGACCACCAACCCCUGUGACAACCCAGAGUCCCUCGGAAGCCCCAGAGGACCUAUCCCUGUGAUCCCCCCCACCCGGGCCGCCCAGGGCACCGGAGGAGCAAAGCAGGUGAGCCCCACGGGAUGCCAAACUCCCCGGAGGACCCAAAAUUGUGUCCUCCCUUGGUCCCCUUGGUCCCGGAGGAUCCACCACGGUGACAACCCCGAUUCCUUGGGCGCACGGUAAGACUAAUCCCGGUGACACCUCCGGGCCCCCCAGGUCCCCUGAAGUGCCACACCGGUGAAAGCCGGAUUGCCUGCGGGCGCCUUGG
This is a long non-coding RNA of Anser cygnoides (Swan goose), 1808 nucleotides long. Lineage: Eukaryota; Metazoa; Chordata; Aves; Anseriformes; Anatidae. The record is from Ensembl.